UUUAAGCACACAUUUUUCCAAGAAAACACUAUUUCAACUAUUAAAAUUUGAAAAGAAUGGAAGAAAACACUAUUUCAACCAUUAAAAUUUGAAAAGAAUGGAGGGCAAACGGGGGCUAUAUGUGAUUCUUUUUGUCCAUCCAUUACUACUCUCCAUCUUACUCUCUUCAUUGUUGACUCCGCCAAUCCCCCACAACCUUGCACAUCAAAAAGAUGCACCAUUCGAAAACCUACAAGUUCUAUUGGAAACUUGUACACAAGUGAGUGCAAGGGAUAAAUCAUAACUAAUAAUGGAACAAUUACCUCGUCAUUCAAACUUAUGUAAAAGGGGAUAAUACGAAAGCUCAAGCUCCAUAAAUAAUAGGAAGAAUGAUAUCUUGACAACAGUAUNN
Molecule: long non-coding RNA, 391 nt
Filed under: Olea europaea (common olive)
Lineage: Eukaryota; Viridiplantae; Streptophyta; Magnoliopsida; Lamiales; Oleaceae
Description: long non-coding RNA (OEUR_LNC004451)
Source: RNAcentral